UGCUCCGAGCAGCGACAGCACCUCCGUCUCGCCUCUUCAUUCGUCGGCACGAGCUCGUGCUCGUCCGCGGUCGGUUAUCCUGUGCUGCAUACCUAUCGAGAGGGCAUUUUGUCGGCUGAAACGGUCCCAUCUCCGUCCUGCGUCGCCGCUCCGUGCGGGCGGUCGAUGCGGGGUGGACCUCAAGGCUCGCGUCGUGUCUCGCACCGCAUCCACCAAUUUUCGGUGUUUGGGCAGGCGAACCACGUCGCGUCGCCCGUCGCCUCGGGUACGGAACAUCACGUGGGUACGCGGCCUCGGCCGCCGAUCRCCACAACGAUGCGUUCUACGCUUUUUGCGAACGACGGUCGGCUCGGUCUCCGCCCGUGCACUCGUGCAUCG
RNAcentral lists this unclassified non-coding RNA (378 nucleotides) under Isodon barbeyanus. Its description in RNAcentral is "partial external transcribed spacer". The record is from RNAcentral. Lineage: Eukaryota; Viridiplantae; Streptophyta; Magnoliopsida; Lamiales; Lamiaceae.